This 291-nucleotide ribosomal RNA is filed under the name uncultured bacterium. Its description in RNAcentral is "partial 16S ribosomal RNA". It matches the Rfam family "Bacterial small subunit ribosomal RNA", at positions 337 to 643 of the family's 1533-position model. The record is from RNAcentral.
UCCUACGGGAGGCAGCAGUGGGGAAUAUUGGGCAAUGGGCGCAAGCCUGACCCAGCAACGCCGCGUGAAGGAAGAAGGCUCUCGGGUUGUAAACUUCUUUUAUCAGGGACGAAGAAGUGACGGUACCUGAUGAAUAAGCCACGGCUAACUACGUGCCAGCAGCCGCGGUAAUACGUAGGUGGCAAGCGUUAUCCGGAUUUACUGGGUGUAAAGGGCGUGUAGGCGGGGAAGCAAGUCAGAUGUGAAAUUCCAGGGCUCAACCCUGGAACUGCAUUUGAAACUGUUUUUCUU